Long non-coding RNA from Ostrinia nubilalis (European corn borer), 1480 nucleotides. RefSeq lists it as uncharacterized. The record is from RefSeq and is a predicted model, not a curated record. NCBI's taxonomy places the organism in Eukaryota, Metazoa, Arthropoda, Insecta, Lepidoptera, Crambidae. The transcript is spliced from 2 exons.
CGCCCGCGCGCCCCGCGCCCGCCCGGGCCCGCUCGCCAGCACGCCCAGCGCCGGCGCCGACUCGAGGAUCGACCACCGCCGCACUCGCCAGAAGCGUAACAGUGAGGCGAGCACAGACAGCGAGAAGGCUCCCUUGAGGACUGAGUAUAGGAACGGCAGGCUUGUAGUUGUUUGAUGUGCAGUAUUAAAAGAGAAUUAAGUGAACAAAUUGUUGACUAAUUGAGGUAUAGUGCUCGUUUAUUAUAAGUUUGUUUAACCGCCUCUGUGGUCUAGUGGUAAGACCACCUGCUUCAGACGCAGACGUCCCGGGUUCCGAUUCCCAGUGGGAGCAGAUUUUUCUGUUCGGUCUGGUUGGUGGUAGGGCUUGUUCUAAGUCCGCCUGGCUAGCUGCCACCAUCUUACCUAAGUCUGUCGCCAUAACAACAAUGUUAACAGCAUUGUUGUUUUCCGGCAGUUAGAGGUAAGAUAGCCAGUUCCUCCGUGGUUGAGGAUUCCGGGUGAAGCUCGCUUCCACUUUCGGCUUGAUCAUCAUCACUUACCAUCAGGUGAGAUACAGACCAAGAGCUUCCUCGUUGUGGAUAAAAAAACAGACUUUUUUUUAUAAAAACACCAACCGAAAACCGAAUUGAGAAUAAGAGUAGGCGCACACCGUUGAUUUUUCGUCGGCCGAUAGUUUAGUCGGGCAGUUGAUCAGUAUGGGCAUGUAUGGGAGUGCGCACACUACGCCGAUUCGAUUUGGCCGAUUCUUCAUACAAUUUAGAGUAGGCGCACACCGUUGAUUUUUCGUCGGCCGAUAGUUUAGUCGGGCAGUUGAUCAGUAUGGGCAUGUAUGGGAGUGCGCACACUACGCCGAUUCGAUUUGGCCGAUUUUUCAUACAAUUUAUAAUCGGGCACAACUAUCGGCCAUCUAAAAAUCAACGGUGUGCGCCUACUCUAAGCCUUUUAUUGAAAUCGGUAGAAUGUUAUUUAGGUAAUAAUAAUAGAAGGUACAUGUGAUUUUCUAGAUAAAGUAGGUAUAGGAAUAUGUUACAGUCAAAACUCAUAAUCAGUCAAAAGUGAUUUUGACCAAUGACCAAGGGCGUUAGUCAAAAUCACUUUUGAGCGCAAAUAUUUUAUUUAUAAAAAAUAGUAUACAUUAAAAUAAUAGUGCUCGAUUAUUUAAUUGACAUGAUAAUGAGUUUAUUAAUUGUUAACUGUUUUAUGUGUUGUAAUUUUAAUUUCCUACUUUAAAAAAACAGCUGGGAUGAAAUAUGAAUGAUUUUCAUCCCCACUCCACUGUUUUUUUGACUUGACUCGGCUAAUUUCCGCGUGCCUAGUGUAAAUCCGCCAGAAAACUGUAUGGUUGUUUCCUGUUUUUCUAACAUGUUACUCAUACAGAUCGUAAUUUUCACAAUCGCUCUAGAGUCUAUAGUUGUAGACUAUUAUUAAUAAAAUAUUUUUAUGAAAAAAGAAAUUAAUUAAAAAAAAAACAAAAUAAUAA